ACUUGCUUAGUAGCUGAAAUUGCGGACAUUGCAGGGUUGGGCUUGAUGACAUUUGUUGCUCAGCUGCCGCGACCCAUUUGGAGCAAAGCUUCUGCUUAUUUCUUUCGGCCGCACCUUAUAUUUGUUGUCUUUGUCAACAUCUGACCUGUUUCUGCCUUGUUGAAAGCAAGUGGCCACAAGUACUGCUUAGUUUGCUCAAUCUAAACCUGGUAUGUAUAUCUAUUUGCUAAGGGCAUGCUUCUGCUCCUUUAAAGGUUGCUUUAACUAAUAGUGGUUUGAGUCAUCGUGUAUGACACCAGAUAAUUAUUGUUCUAAAAUGGUGGCAAAGCUUGUCCACAGAUUUAAAGUAUGGAGAUGCUAAACAUUAAAAUGUUCCAAGUUGCCACAAAGUAUUACACGCAUUUAAAUUUGCAGUCGCAAAAGACGUACUAAAAGUAUAAUCCACAAAAUUUGCUUCGAGGUGUCUUGAGACAAUAAAUUGUAGAGAAAGAAUUCUAUUGUGAGUUGCCAAUGCUUGUCGUGAGCUCUAGCCCAUUUUUCUAUGCAGCCACUGUUGCUUCGUUGUCUGUGCUUGUUACUAACAAGAAAUUGAGCUCCGUGGUUCCCCUGAUUUUUGUCGCUCAUAAAAUGCAAAUGUCUCGACAUUGGCAGCCUUAGUGCCUCAAAGUAGAACACGAGUGUUCAUUGGCCAGUUGCCUGCCUUUAAGAUAAUGUUGUAUUUAAUGUCAGGGGUAUAAAGGAUACUUCACAUCUGCCAUCAUGGCUGUUAGUUCUGCUGCCUAGCACUUCCAGGACAAAGUUUGGUACACAUGUGCAACUAUCCAAGAAAAUGGACAUUGGGACAACUGCUGACGUAGCUCACUUGGUAGAGCAUCGCAAGCGCAAAGCAGAAAAUGUUGGUUAAACUCCAACAGGCAGCAAGUUGUCUCUUAAUGCAAAGCAUUAUCGUGAUCUAUUUUCGAAUUUCUUAGUACACCUGCCCAGGUAGCUUCAUUAAUAAUCAGUAAUGCUCCUGAUGGUGGGUAUUGAACGCGAGUCCCUAGUGCAGCAGCCCAAUUCUUUGCCCAUUAGGCUACAGAUGCAUGCAUAGCUCGCCAGAUUAACCGCACUGGUUCUCUCGUAGCAGCUAAUGCUUUCAGAUGUUAUGUGACACUCGCAGAGUUUGGGAUUCACCCGUUUCAGCUCAUAUGCAACAUAUAAAGCAGGUGUUCUGUUUGCUUUGGUGACGCGUUGUGCGUGCAAUUGUUUUUGGUUUCUCUAUUUUGGUGUAUUGUGCUUUGUAUUCGAUAUGGUGCUGGGCAUUACCUCAAUCACAGCUUCGAUGCUGUGCCCAAAGAAAAAAACAUUUGUAAGCAGGUGCUCGAGUGACGUGAAGCUCACUCUCCCUCAUUCUCUCUUGCAGGUAGUGUAUCCAGUUUAGCGCCGUGCACAUGUGUGGGGCAUUUCCUUGUUCUUAUUCUGCUGAUGUGUCGUGUUGUACAUAGGAGGAAAGCCGGUCCUCCACAAUAUGGUUGUCAGUGUUGCUGAAUACAACACAGUCUUGCUGCCUUGACACGCCACAUCAUUUGACAUGUGGGGGCCACUUCACAACUGCAAGCUGAAUCUGAUGUAGGCAGUGUCAGGGUCAUGGCCCAUAUUUUGGUGAACGCCAAGAAUGCGUCCUGUGACUGAAGUUUGAGUAUUUGAGCCCACCUUUUGGAAGUGCUUUUUAUGUGCACUCAGUAAGUGACAGUUAUCCAUGCUUCUUGACAUGAUUUUAAGUGAUCCUAGAGGCAACACUUAUUGAUCUGCAUUAUGCAAAUGUUUUUAUAUUUUCGCUAAUAUACUGUGGUUACUAUUACUACACACUGUUUAAAAGGUGUUGAAUAUAAAAAGCUAUUUAUUUGCCCUAAUAUAAUGUAGAAAUAAGCAUUCUGCAGUCUGAAAAGUGAAGAAAAGAAACACAAAAAAAAGAAAAAAUCACCGCCCAAGCACUCCAUACAGAUGGUUAACCAGCAAAGCUGAAACGUGCGGCCGCAGUGUUUAUGACUGGGUUAAUUACGUCUUUGUGUUCUUAAUGAGGUUACACACACGUUCGGCUGCGACGGAGAGAACGACGUCACUGAAAGUGUGUCCGCCGUUGUCGCCUGCGUUCGAUGUCUCACGUUUGCUUGGCGGUGUGGUUAGCAGCAUUUGUCCGCCAUUGCCGCUGCUUGUGAUUUUUUGAAAUUAAAUCUGUCCGUCAUGUAAGACGACGAAUGGCUCAUACCUCCUUAAGCAAUGGCUCAUGCGGCCUCCCCAUUACGACGUCACAAGAGAAGUGAAAUUCUACGCUGGAAUUAUGAGCCGCGAUGGAGCCAGCUGUGGAAGAAGACAACGAACGCGGGAGCAGUGGCACGAGCGAAACCCGAGGGGUGCCAACAAGCCAGCUUCGGAAGAGACGACGAUGCUCGAGCCAAUGCUGAUGAUGAUAGUUAUCUGUACACAGGCGACAGACAGACGCUUUUUCGUUUCGCCUAGCCAUAUGGUCGCAAGAUUCACAACCACUUUAGUUGAUUAUAAAAACAUUGAAGUGCACGCAAACAGCCUCUACAUUGCAUCUGUGAAAAACAUUGCUCCAUCUUGCUGUAGCAUUAUGCACCUUAGCUUUGUGUGGAAGCCGCGGUUGUUGCACUGUGCUGCACCGCAAUGAACCUUGGUUAUGUGAAAAAGCCACUGUUAUUGCAUUGCUCUUUACUGUUAUGCACAUCAACCUUGUGGCAAAGCCACCACACUUGCACCGUGCUCCACCGCAAAGCAUUUUAGGUGUGUGGAAAAGUACUUACUAAAUAUUGCAUGUGCUGGAUUUGAGCAUUUUUAACGCAAAGAAUUUUCAUACCAAGCACUUUGCAGUAGGCAAUUUUAUGUCCCGGCUCCUGUUAGUCUUUCCGAUUGAAAACAAAAAUAUGUCUGGCAGCGAGUCCAAACCUGUCUCCCAACAUAACAGCCCAACGCUUUAGCCAUUAGGCCGCUGUUGUGCACAUACUUUGCGCUCGCCAAUGUGUAGCUAGGUAUAUGAGGUAGUGGCUUAUGCAUUAUGGUGCACGAUAUGUGUCGGAGCAUGUGUGCAUGUACAAGUUGCUCGUCAAAGUGAGAGCAUGUCAGUUUCUCCCAUUCUUCCUUUGUGGCAGCACUUCGAGGUGCUUUGUUAGACUGCUCCAGCUUUGCGAUUCACCCACAUUUCCCAGUCCCUUCAUUGUAGCAGCUUCCACAACAUGGACACUGUGCGACAUUGUACUACCUUUGCAUUGAGGGUGAAGGUGGUAUGUGCUCGUUGAGUGAAAAAUGUUGACAAGAGGUGUAUGCACAGAAAAGUAUGACAUUUAUCUUAAUACUACAUGUAAUGAUUCUGUACUCCUUGUGCCACAGUGACCCAUGCCCAAAUCAGCAGACGGGCCCAGAAUGGGCACAUAACCAUUUGUGCAUACCGCAUAAGCCAUGCUGUCCACUUGGCAAAACAGUAGCCACCACAGUGUAGGCAGGAAGA
Molecule: long non-coding RNA, 3505 nt
Organism: Dermacentor silvarum
Lineage: Eukaryota; Metazoa; Arthropoda; Arachnida; Ixodida; Ixodidae
Exons: 3
Source: RefSeq, a predicted model, not a curated record